GAUGAACGCUGGCGGCGUGCCUAAUACAUGCAAGUCGAGGGAACAGACGAGGAGCUUGCUCAUCUGACGUUGGCGACGGACGGGUGAGUAACUAGUGCAUAACCAACCUAUAAGACUGGACUAACUAAGGGAAACCGAGUCUAAUAACGGACAAUAUAUUUACCUUCAUGGUUCACGAGUGAAAGGCGGUUUUGGUCGCACUUGUAGGUGGAUCCGCGCCGGAUUAGCUAGUGGGUGAGGUAACGGCUUACCAAGGCGACGAUGCGUAGCCGACCUGAGAGGGAGAGCGGCCACACUGGAACUGAGACACGGUCCAGACUCCUACGGGAGGCAGCAGUAGGGUAUCGUCCGCAAGGGGAGAAAGCCUGACGGUGCAACGCCGCGGGAGCGAUGAAGGUCUCCGGAUUGUAAAUCUCUGUUAUUAGUGAAGAACAAAUAUGUAAGUAACUAUGCACGUCUUGACGGUAACUAAACAGAAAGCCACGGCUAACUACGUG
Molecule: ribosomal RNA, 497 nt
Filed under: uncultured bacterium
Lineage: Bacteria
Description: partial 16S ribosomal RNA
Rfam family: Bacterial small subunit ribosomal RNA
Source: RNAcentral